This 233-nucleotide ribosomal RNA is filed under the name uncultured bacterium. Its description in RNAcentral is "partial 16S ribosomal RNA". It matches the Rfam family "Bacterial small subunit ribosomal RNA", at positions 100 to 334 of the family's 1533-position model. The record is from RNAcentral.
CGGGACGGGUGAGUGAUGCUUGGGAAUCUGGCUUAUGGAGGGGGAUAACGACGGGAAACUGUCGCUAAUACCGCGUAGAAUCGAGAGAUGAAAGUGCGGGACCGCAAGGCCGCAUGCCAUAGGAUGAGCCCAAGUGGGAUUAGGUAGUUGGUGGGGUAAAGGCCUACCAAGCCGACGAUCUCUAGCUGGUCUGAGAGGAUGACCAGCCACACCGGGACUGAGACACGGCCCGG